CCUACGGGAGGCAGCAGUGGGGGAUAUUGCACAAUGGGGGAAACCCUGAUGCAGCGACGCCGCGUGGGUGAAGAAGCGCCUCGGCGCGUAAAGCCCUGUCAGCAGGGAAGAAAAUGACGGUACCUGAAGAAGAAGCCCCGGCUAACUACGUGCCAGCAGCCGCUGUAAUACGGGGGGGGCAAGCGUUAUCCGGAUUUACGGGGUGUAUAGGGGGCGCAGACGGCGAUGCAAGCCAGGAGGGAAAGCCCGGGGGCCAACCCCGGGACUGCUGUUGGAACUGCGUGGCUAGAGUGCAGGAGGGGCAGGCGGAAUUCCUGGUGUAGCGGUGAAAUGCAUAGAUAUCAGGAGGAACACCGGUGGCGAAGGCGGCCUGCUGGACUGCAACUGACGUUGAGGCCCGAAAGCGUGGGGAGCAAACAGGAUUAGAUACCCUUGUAGUC
RNAcentral lists this ribosomal RNA (440 nucleotides) under uncultured bacterium. Its description in RNAcentral is "partial 16S ribosomal RNA". It matches the Rfam family "Bacterial small subunit ribosomal RNA", at positions 338 to 795 of the family's 1533-position model. The record is from RNAcentral.